Long non-coding RNA from Peromyscus californicus insignis, 9084 nucleotides. RefSeq lists it as uncharacterized. NCBI's taxonomy places the organism in Eukaryota, Metazoa, Chordata, Mammalia, Rodentia, Cricetidae. The record is from RefSeq and is a predicted model, not a curated record. The transcript is spliced from 3 exons.
GACCCAUUAAACACCAAGAGGUUGUUUAGGAGAAGAUUGGCCACAGUGAGGAAAGCAUGUAGACCAAGUCUCUGUGCAGCUAGAAAGGAACUGAAAAUACAAUUUCAGGGAGAUGGAGAGAUGGCUCAGUAGUUAAGAGCACAUUCUGCUCUUGCAGAGGACCUGGGUUCAGUUCUAUUAUCCUCAUGGUGAGUCCCUGAAGAACAUCAUUUAUGUAGAAUGAAAAAAGCCAACCAAACAUAGGGAAUGAGCAUAAAGGCAGACUAUGGGUGGGGAGAACUUGGCACUGCAGUGUGGGAAAGCUGAGUGGCAUGGAAAUCCUGGGCAGUUGGGACUGGAGAACCGAAGACCCUAUCGGUGGACUGGGGAGGCAGUGAUGGGAGAUGAAACACUCUGAAAGCAAUGGCAGCCAGGCUAGUUUCACUGUAUGGAAGCCUCGUGGGGGCUGGGCAUGGGCCAGUGGGGGAAGCACUUGCCAUGCGAGCAUGAGGGCCUCAGUUCAAAUCCCCAGCACCCAUAACAAUCUGGACACCUGGCAUGUGUCUCUAAGUUGGUUUCUCUUGUCGAGAUAAAAUUCUGACCAAAACAAACUUAGGAGGAAAGGGCCUAUUUCACCUCACAAGUUACAGCCCAUCAUGGAGGGGAACCAAAGCAGGAACUCAGAGGCAGGAACUGAAGCAGGGGUUGUGGAGAAUGCUGAUUACUGACUUUCCCAACUACCUUUGUUUUAUAGCUUAGGCCCUCCCCCUGGGGAUGGCACCACCCACAGUGGGCUAGGCCAUUAAUUAGCGGUCCAAAAAAUGCUUCACAGAUGUGCCUACAGGCCGAUGUAUUGGAGGCAAUUCCUCAGUUGAGAUCCCUUCUUCCUAGAUGUCUAGGUUUGUGUUAAGCUGACAAAAACUGGUGAGCAUAUAGGUCAGUUGGCCUGGUACAGUCAAUGGUGAACAAUAAAGAGGGAGACACGGUCUCAAACAAGGCAGGGGUCCAGGAUCCAUACCUGAGGUGGUCCUCGGACCUCCAUGCUGUGUCACCCACACACCCAUGCUCACAAAUAAGCACACAUGAACAGGCACAUACAUACAUCAAACACAAUCAGGCACAUGUACAAAGAUAAAAAAGAAAGGCAUCAUAAGCAAUUAACUCAAGUUUACACAAAACAUAGUCCCAUAAUGCAUUAAUAUCAACUCUCCAUUUAUGUGACCAAGAAGCUGGGCACCUAGCUUGGAGGUUGGCUUAUUUACAGAUUGAAGGCUAGACCACUCUUGUUUCCUUCUGUUUGAGGUAGUGAUGUUUUUUAGCCCAGGCUGGUUUCAAACUUCCUUUGGCCUCAUGAGUGCUGGUAUUACAGGCAGGUACCACUGUGCCUGCUUCAGAAUACCCAUUACUUAAAAACAACAACAACAACAACAACAACAACACCCAAAUAUUUCCCCUCCUGCCUCUCAGAUCUCCUGCAUAAAUCAAGGUGGAUUGGUGGCACCCACAUGGCAGCUCACAACCUUCUUCAACUCCAGUUCCAGGGGAAUCCAAUGCCCUCUUCUGGCCUCACUGGGUACUGCAUGCAUAUGGCAUCAUUAACUCAUGCAAACACACACACACACACACACACACACACACACACACACACAGCAAGAGUAAAACAAUAAUGAUAAGAGACAAAACGAAAAGAUGGAAAGGGGGCUUGUUAUAGAGGCCAGUGGUACAACAUGUGCCCAGCACGCACGAGGCCAGCAAUGUAAAAAACAAACCACAGUGAUAAUAAAGGAAAGAUCUAAAUGAUAAUGGCACAGUGUCUCAAGGAAAAGACAACGGUGGCUCCACCAGACAUGCUAAGUUAGUGCAAGAAUUGCCAGAGGCCUGAGGUGUAGGUGACAUAGGAGUCUGGGCGGGGCAACUUUAUCUGUUACUAAAGCAAGCAGACUUCACCUGUAGAAGGGGCUUAAUAAUAGCGUGAGGGAUUGACCAUUGCCCACCUUCCAUCUGGACUGGGUCCCAGAAAGGUGUGUUGAAGAGCAGAGGAUACUGUUUUAUGGAUGACUCACGUCUCAUCCCAGGAUGUCCCCAGAGCUCAGAAGCCUUUUUCCAUUUUUACCUGUGGCACCCUCACACUCUGACAGCAUCCCCCCUCCCUCUGCCCUGAGCUGCCCCCUCUCUGGGUAGGAUGGGUGUUUGUUGUAGGUAAGCGCCCCCAGGGCUGUACACCCUGCAAGUUGGCCCUUUGUGGGGGCUGAAGGGAAUAGGCCAGUUGUACCACCAGCUGUCUGCACACAAACUGCUUAAUUUCAAAAUCAUGCCACAGACAGAAUGAAAACGCUACACACUCAAACAAAACUGAGUGAAAUGAACAAAGAGAAAAAUCUUUAGCACAGAGCAGAGUGAUAAUGUGUCUGGUGCUGCGAGGAACCCGGGAGCUAUGUACGGGUUCCUUUUCAGUAGUGCUGGGCUCUUUGGAUGAUAAUCCUUCGCACCUGUUUGCCCUCCUCAGAGGAGAAGCGAUAUGUCAAAAGUACCGUCUCCCUUGCUGGUCUGUCCUGAGAAACUGGUCGAGCAUUGGCUGGGGAACGCUGCAACCCUCCCCGCUUAUUUUAACUAGAGGGUGGGAAGAGAGAAUGCAGACUUCCUUGAGGAUGUCAUGGGUGCCUUUCGCCCAUCUCUAGGACUUGCUCCCUCCCACCCAGGGUGUUAGGAUAUUUAGUACACAGUGCCAAGCUGGGGUAUCUUCGGGGGCAUUGAGAUAUCCCACUUCACUAUCAUAUACACUUCAAGACAGAGCUUCAAGUGAAACGGGGAGCCACCCUCCUUUUCCCUGUUGUGGUUUAUCUGUUGUUUGUUCUUUGUCGAUUUCAUUCAUGCAGAUAAUAUAUCUUUAUCAUGGCCACCCCCUCCCUCCAACACCCUCAACACCCUCUCCGUCCCACUUUCACGUUCCCUGUUUAUUGUCCCUGAAUCCCCCUGAGCCCAGUCAGCACUGCCUGCGGGAGGGGCAGCUGAUCUCGCUGGCUUGAUCUUGUUCAGGAAACCACAGCUUCCGGGAGUUGAUGACUGCCACAGCCACGCCAUGUCCAGAACACAGCAUUUCACGGCCCCAUCCCCAUUCUCUGUGCCUUUGUAGAUCAUGUUUUAAAACCUUCCACGUCUGGCGUUGGGAACGCGGCAGCGGCUUGGUGCUGGAUAGCAGGAGGCAAAGAACAACUCUUUAUGUCGCUCAGACUAGCAUAAAACCCACGGACAUCCUACCUCAGCCCAUGGAGUGCUGGGCUCACAGGUGUGGGCCAUCGUGCCAGCCACCCGGAUCUUCUUACUCUGGUCUCUUCAGAGUGGCCCUCUCUGAGCUCCCUCUUAGGACAUCUCCCUCCCCUGCCCCUAGUGUCUGUUCCCACAGAAGGGAAUCAACACCACCCACCAUGCUGCUCAUCCCCACCUCCUCAACAGGGGAUUGCCGGGCUUCUAGAACAUGCCUCACUCUGGGAUGUGUUCCAAGACCAUCAGAUGCCUAGACAAACGGACAAAUGAAGAUACUCACGUGUUGCUGGUGUACAUGCAGUCAGUACGACAAUUCUAGAAAAUUCCAAACCACUGUCUUCCUCGCCCUCAGUUGGUAGGACAUUGCUAAAUGCAGAAAGGUUAAAAAAAAAAGUCAAUUGGAAAACAAAGGACUUGCAAUCUCAUCUGUAGUCUUUGUUUUUGGAUGGAUAUCCUAGCAUGUUUCUCUGAUUGUAUGAAUCACAAUUUCAUUGUUUCUACUUUGCUUAAAAAGUUUUUUUUUUUAAGUAGGUUCUCACUAUGUAGCCUUGGCUGCCCUGGAACUCACUGUGUAGAUUAGGCUAGCUUCAGAAACAAAGUUAUUUAUUUACUUUUAUUUUUAGUGUACGAGGGUUUGUCUAUAUGUACGUAUGUGCACCACAUGUGUGCAGUGCUUGUAGAGGUCAGAAGAGGGCAUCAGGGCACUGGUAACUGGUGUUAUAGACACUUGUGAGCUGCCAUGUGGGUGCUGGGGACUGAAUCCAAGCCCCCUGCAACCAGUAUACUUAACUGCUGAGCUAUUUCUCCAGCUCCCGCAAUUGUCUGUUUGGUUUUUGUUGUUGUUGUUAUAGAACAGAUAUGAAAAACCCUUGGCAGUUAGCAAGUACAUUUCUACAAUAUUGUUUUUACCCAAUGCAGCACUGUCUACUCGCCUACCCCACGAUUGUAUAUGAAAUACAUGUACUCUUCUGUUGUUGGGCAUUGGCUUGUUUCUGGGAGCAGAGAACACAUUGUAUCCAAAUCCUCACAUACAUCCUGGAUGGGUUCCUUUGGAAACAAAAUCUCUGGAUUCUGAUUUUGUUUUUGUUUUUGAAACAGAGUUUCAUUAUGUAGCCCAGGCUAACCUGUGACUCUGCUCCUCCUGCCACAGCCUCUCAAGUGUUGGGGUUCCCAGUGUCCAUCAGCUUGUCCUGCUGGGUCAUGCAUUUAAAGCAGUUUGGUAAUAUUGAUGAAUUAUCCCUGCUCCUGGUUGUCUAGUUCACCCCUCCACCGGUGCGGUAGAGAAACCUCUCUCACUCCUCCACAUUCUGUCUCCAUCACCGCUUCUGUCUUUAUCAACUCGGGGACAGACAAGUUCUCAUUCCUGCUUUAAUUUGCAUGUGUUUGAUUACUAAUAAGGUUGGGCAUCUUUUAUGCAUAUUUAUCAUUUGUAUUUAUUCUUUUGUGAAUUGCUAUUCAUGUCCCCAAUCCAUUUUUUCCUAUUGAAAUAUCUCUUAUUCACGUGUAAGAAAGCUGAGUACAUUAAGGGUAUUCAUCUUUCCGUUACAUGUGUCAAAAAUAUUUUUUUUCUUUGAUUUUGGUUUGCUUUUCAAUCCCAAAAUUAUAUAUUUUUUUCCACAGAGAGACCUUUUACAUUUAUACAAUUCAAAUCUAGCUGUUUUUUCAAAGUGAUAUUUUCUUGCUUAUUCUUUGAAAUUUUUAUACAUGUAUACCUCACUCAGCUGUAGGUGGGCCACCUCCAUCCAGACACCACGAUUUCCUGUCUAGUCCCUGUCUUUUGAAUUCAUGCAGAAAGGACUUCCCCUUUAUAUCUCAUUCAGAGCCUCCAUGUUCCACUUCAGAAUUCAAAUCUUUCAUUCCUACAGUUUUUUUUUUUUUAAACAGGAGAGGCACGAAGGAAGACACGUGUUUUGUUUUCUGAUAGUAGCAGGUUGAAGUCACAUCUUUACCUGUGAACCAUCAUUUUCCCAUGACCAGGGCACACCUUUGUGUCGGGCUGUCAGUGCCUGGCUUUGGACUGUCCCUGUACCGUCCUUCUCAUUUAUAUAGCUUUCUGUGUAUCAAUAUCUGCUUGAAGUCUUAAUCACUUGCCUCAGUUUUUGCCAAAAAAAUGUUUCUUGGAUAUUUCCUCAGUUAUUUUUAUUCAAUGGACUUUGGCGUAAAUGUGGUAAAAUGUCAAGAAAGCUUGAAUAGGGUUUUGCCUGGGAUUGAUAUUAAAGUGGAGAGGUUGGAUGAGCGAGGAUCAGCAUGCCAACAACACGGAACCAAGUUUCACUUUAUUUAGUAAUUCUACAUUUACGUUUCUAAACCACAUGAACAAGGGUUACUGAAUAAACAUUUUAGCCUCAACAUCGUCUGCACUGAUGGACACAUUGGAAUCCAUAAACAGUAACUGAAGAUGGCGCAUUAACUUGAUACAGUUACAACUUAAACUCCCACCAGCCCAAGAGCUUAUCCUGUUAGAAUGCUUGCCAGCCAAACCUGAGAACCUGAGUUUGACCCCUGGGACUCAUGUGGUAUCCUCAGGAGGUACUCAAGAGGCAACCUCCUCCCCCACUGUAUACACACACCACCACCAAUAAUAAUAAUAAUAACAAUAAUAAUAAUAAUAAUAAUAAUAAUACAAUAAAAUUAAAAAAUAUUACACAGCCCUUAAAAAGGUAUCUCCAGCUGUUUACAGAAGUUAAUUUAAUUUGAACAUUCGGUGAAAAAAAAUCAGAGUUUUGGACAAACAGCCUUCCUCUUUCCCUAUGCACACAUCAUCAUGUGAAGUGUUGCCCAACACUCAUCGAAGCAAAAUAGACUGAAAUGUUAAUAAGCAGUUAUCUUCGUGAGAGAGGUUAUUAGGGAUGCUGCUCAGUUUUAAUUUCAGUCUUUCUUUGCUUUGUGGUUUUUGUGUCAUUUGCAAGUGUCGGGUGUCCUAGCUGGAGCAGGAUGGCAAACCUGUGCCUGCAGCCUUGGGAGGGCAGUGGAGUCAGGGUGUCGGCGGCGGAUGCAGUUCCGCGCAUGGCCGGAGGGUGGCAGUGUCCACUCGCAGACUCCGGCUGGUUGCUUGAUGACCUUUGUCAGCCAGCGCAGCCUCUCGUUUAUCACCGAUCACAGAGUGGAAUGAACAUAUUUACUUGUGUUUUGCUUUCCACUUAUAAUAUCUAGUGGCAUGGGAGGGAAAUGAAAACAAUUGUUCAUAGGGGAAAUUUAUGAGCUUCAUCUGGCUGCAUGAUCCCCGCAGUUGCCCCAGCGCCGCCCAGGGAGUGGAGAUGGUUUCUAGCAUCUCCAACCGCCCGACAUCCCCAGAGGUCCUCGUAGGGCCUCGCAGCACUUGUCUCAGGCCGGCAGACUUUCCCACACUCCCCACCCUCUUGAGUUUGCAAGGAGCUCUAUGGAGAGGGGCAGGUGUGUCAUCUUUUCGGGUGGCAAGGUAGUCCUGGCUGCAGGCUGGAUCCCGCCUGAAGCCUGGGCUAGCCUUUGUCUCUUGACAGUGCCCGUAAUUCCUUCUUUUAAUGAGCUGCCGCUGGGGCAGGGCUCUGUUGACCCCCUGGAGCUCCGAGGUCACGACAGGGUAGGAGGGAGUCUCUCCCUCUGAGGUUCCGGGAAAGGGGCAGCUGAGGGGCUUAGUGGUGAUGUGUGCCUUUUAGGAGAGGAUGGGGGAAGACCUGGAGACCUCUACUUCCAGCCUUGCUCAGAGGCUAGCCCCAGUCAGAGAGACAGGAUUCCUCUCCCAUGGAAAGGAGACAUGAAACUCUCUUGUUUUCACCCUCCUUGGGCUGCCGGUUCACAAAACUUGCUGCUGAGAACCUGGAACCAGCUCUGCCCGAGGUACAGGCAAGAACAGGGGCAGAGUUGUCUGUGGUGAGAUCAGUCCCUGACUCCAGCUGUCAGAAUUUCAGCAGGGAGGAUGCCAUGGGGACUGCUGGGCUGUACCAGGGUGAUGUGUAAAGAGUGAAACCUGGGCUAGCCUUAGCACCAGAGUGUGGAAAAGUGAGAUGUGAAAACACAGAAGCACCUACCUGAGCUCACUGCAUGGCAGGGAGCAGGUGCCUGUGAGGCUUCAGGGCUCCACGAGGCACACUGGCUGCUCAUGCGCUGGGGGAUGACAGCUGUAAACUGGUGAAGAAGAUCUCCUGCAGACCAUCCUAGGUCCACUAUACUGUUCUCUCCCUUCCCUCCUCUCCAGCCCCUCCCUCCUCCCAUAUUUCCUUCAUGUCCUUUCUCUAUCUCCUCUUCCUUUUUCCUCUUCUCUCUUCUCCCUCCCCUCCUCUGUCCCCCUCCCCCUUUUAAUUUCUUGCACCUCCCUUAGAAGAUCUCACUCAUCUCACUCCCCCCCCCCCAUUCUCAGACCUGAGGUGGGCCUUCAUGUUCUUGGGCUGGAAUGUGGCCCAAGUGCACAGGCUCUUGCUCAGUGUUUGCGUUUGCAUUGUUCCUGUCUGAGGCUGCUUCAUUCAGUGUCCACCCCCCUUCUCCCCUGCCUGCAAGGGUGUGGCCUGACAAAGUGGUAGCUGACCUGAGAUGCAUCAGGGCACUUUGGAGAGAGUGCCCCUCCCAGGAAGCUCCUCCUGGGCACAUACAUACAGGUGAGCCUUUGGUGCCAUCUGGCCAGCGGGGGUGCUGGACUUGGGGCACUAGCCAAGACUCCCCUGCAGUCCCAGUGCCCUGACUUGGGAUUCUAGGAGGGAGGAGACUGAGUUCACCCAGCACAGAUCUGGUCCCUGGAGCACUGCUCUGGCAGGCAGGGGAGACACAGGCUCCCUCUCUGUCUGCAGUAUUCACGGAGCUCUAGGGACACUUGCACUUGCCCAGGACAGUGGUUUGACAGAGCAGUGUUUCCAACCCACAGCACCCUCCCUCGGCUGUUAAAAUCCACCUUAUUUCCCCAGCAGUCUUAUAAUCGAAUUACUCAAAAUUGCACAGCUUUAUUGCACAAUGCUAAACUUCAGGACAAACAAAUGCCCAGGUAAUGAACAAUUAUUUAUGACAAAUUAUUACCUUUACUUUUAAGACUAGCGGUUUCCAUUAAGCUUAGGAAAGGUGCCAGCUCCUCCCUGCCAGCCCCUCCUCCCUGCCAGCCCCUCCUCCCUGCCAGCCUCUCCCUGUCCCUCUCUGCCAGCCCCUCCCUGGAAAAUGCAGUCUCAUAUGAAAGCACAUGGUUCUGAGGGGCUCUGGAGGGUGCUGUGUUUGAGCACACACAUGCAGCUGUUCCUGUGGGUGUGGAUGGGGAGGGGCAGUUGAAUGGUGGCCAUGCCCCUGUCUCAGUGUGGGGCUGGGAGCUUUCUGUGGGGCUUCUGGUUUUCUUGUCUCUUUUGCACAGAUCAAGACAGAGGCUCUGAAGCCCAGGAAAAAAGCUUCACUCUUCCAUUUGUAUUUAAGUUUUAGCAUUUUUGUCUUGUUUGAAACUAAACUCAACUUUAAAAAUUAUUUAUGGACUCAAUAACAUAUGUUUAGAUUAUUGAACCCCCCCUUUUCCUUGGUUCUCAUGAGCAGAACCAUCUCCCGGCUAAUUAUAACAUACAGUAUUUUCCCAGUAGUCUUACAAUCAAAUUAUUCAAAAUUGCAUUUCUUUAUUGCAUAUUGCUAAAACCCAAGACAAGCAAACAUCAAGAUAAUAAACAAUUAUUUAUUACAAAUUAUUACCUAAUAUAUAAGAUUAACAGCUUGUAACUAUUAAGGUUAAUACAUGUGGUAAACUGUAUUUAUUAUACUUAUUUUGGAGCAAAUAUCUUUGUAUAAAACAUAUGUUUAUGUAUUGCAAUUAAUGAGAAAAAGUGUAAGAUUAACAAUUUAUGUUGGGUUUUGUUUUUAGAUUUAUGCACACUGUAAAACUUAUUUAUUGCACUUAUUAAAAGU